GAUGAACGCUGGCGGCGUGCCUAAUACAUGCAAGUCGAGCGAACAGAUAAGGAGCUUGCUCCUUUGACGUUAGCGGCGGACGGGUGAGUAACACGUGGGUAACCUACCUAUAAGACUGGGAUAACUUCGGGAAACCGGAGCUAAUACCGGAUAACAUUUGGAACCGCAUGGUUCUAAAGUGAAAGAUGGUUUUGCUAUCACUUAUAGAUGGACCCGCGCCGUAUUAGCUAGUUGGUAAGGUAACGGCUUACCAAGGCAACGAUACGUAGCCGACCUGAGAGGGUGAUCGGCCACACUGGAACUGAGACACGGUCCAGACUCCUACGGGAGGCAGCAGUAGGGAACCUUCCGCAAUGGGCGAAAGCCUGACGGAGCAACGCCGCGUGAGUGAUGAAGGGUUUCGGCUCGUAAAACUCUGUUAUUAGGGAAGAACAAACGUGUAAGUAACUGUGCACGUCUUGACGGUACCUAAUCAGAAAGCCACGGCUAACUACGUG
Molecule: ribosomal RNA, 497 nt
Filed under: uncultured bacterium
Lineage: Bacteria
Description: partial 16S ribosomal RNA
Rfam family: Bacterial small subunit ribosomal RNA
Source: RNAcentral